AAGCCUCAUUUAUCUGAGGCAGCAUCUUCUUGCAGUCAUCAUCCUCCAACUGCUUUGAUGUUACAAGAGAUUACAUUGAGGUAUGAUUAGAAGGGAUGCUGGAAUUAUGCCCACCUCUCCUCCCAGGAUUUUUAAGAGAGAUCUUAACCAGGAAAGGCAGCAAGUGCCCAGGCAGAAAUCUCUCACAUACUGAUCAGGAAAUCCUGUUGGAAGUUGGUGUGAGUGUCUUCAAGAACAGUUGUGAAUUAAAUUCAGAAUAUGCUUCAACUGCCACGCUAUAUUCACAGAAGAAAGGAUGAGCCUAACUUGUAUUUUAAGGAAAAAUGACAUGAGCAACUAACUCCAGGAGGGAAUUUAGUGCUGCAGAUCCUGUGUAAGAGGAUGCAUCCCUGUAGAAUGGAGGAAAGAGUCUGUGGAAUGGGACUUGAGAUUUCCCCUCACUUCAGAUUAGAUAUUGGCUGAGAUACCUUUUUAGCAAUACAGUUUUAUAAAUCUUUCACUUCAAACCUACUGUGAAGUUUCGUAGUAAUAAAAACUGGGUGGUUGUGUAGAGUAAUCUAGGG
This 563-nucleotide long non-coding RNA is filed under the name Zonotrichia albicollis (white-throated sparrow). RNAcentral's name for it is "lncRNA (ENSZALG00000006704.1)". The record is from RNAcentral. Lineage: Eukaryota; Metazoa; Chordata; Aves; Passeriformes; Passerellidae.